UGGGGAAUUUUGGACAAUGGGCGCAAGCCUGAUCCAGCCAUUCCGCGUGCAGGACGAAGGCCUUCGGGUUGUAAACUGCUUUUGUACGGAACGAAAAGCCCUUCUCUAAUACAGAGGGGUCAUGACGGUACCGUAAGAAUAAGCACCGGCUAACUUCGUGCCAGCAGCCGCGGUAAUACGAAGGGCGCAAGCGUUACUCGGAAUUACUGGGCGUAAAGCGUGAGUAGGUGGUUUCUUAAGUCUGAUGUGAAAUCCCCGGGCUCAACCUGGGAACUGCAUUUGUGACUGCAUAGCUGGAGUGCGGCAGAGGGGGAUGGAAUUCCGCGUGUAGCAGUGAAAUGCGUAGAUAUGCGGAGGAACACCGAUGGCGAAGGCAAUCCCCUGGGCCUGCACUGACGCUCAUGCACGAAAGCGUGGGGAGCAAACA
RNAcentral lists this ribosomal RNA (427 nucleotides) under uncultured bacterium. RNAcentral's name for it is "bacterial SSU rRNA". It matches the Rfam family "Bacterial small subunit ribosomal RNA", at positions 355 to 774 of the family's 1533-position model. The record is from RNAcentral.